Molecule: ribosomal RNA, 774 nt
Filed under: Anthomastus sp. SW3155
Lineage: Eukaryota; Metazoa; Cnidaria; Anthozoa; Scleralcyonacea; Coralliidae
Description: eukaryotic LSU rRNA
Rfam family: Eukaryotic large subunit ribosomal RNA
Source: RNAcentral
AAAAGAAUUUGAAGAGAGAGUUAAAGAGUACGUGAAACCGUUAAAAGGGAAGCGAAGANCCAGCAAUUURCCUUGAAGUGUUGUUCGCGAUCUGUUAGACGCGACUCGCGUAAGUCCCGAGCGUAGACGGCGCACUUCCGAAAGGCAAGUGUCAGCAUCAGUUGGUCACGGCUUAGAAAGUUGCGACGAAGGUAGACCCCGGGGUUGUUGAGCUUCGCAAAGAAAUGACCCGAGGCUCACUGUAGNUCUGUUGCAAUGCGCGCCUNUGGCUGGUGCCCUGUCCUGUUGACGCGGUUGUCGAGUGUGGCGGACGGCUUUGCCAGUGCGUCCAACCGCUGCCUGUCAACAAGUCGGAGUGCACACACCACGCGUUGACUACGCUGACGGAAAUACGGUUUCAUCCGACCCGUCUUGAAACACGGACCAAGGAGUCUAACGUGUGCGCGAGUCUGUCGGUGCUCGAAACCCGGUNGGCGUAAUGAAAGUGAAGGGGACGUUAUUUGCUUAGGUGAGAAGCCGCCGAGCCGUAUCAUCGACCGACCUGUUCUAUCCUUAGAAAGGUUUGAGUAAGAGCGUAGCUGUUGGGACCCGAAAGAUGGUGAACUAUGCCUGAAUAGGGUGAAGCCAGCGGAAACACUGGUGAAAGCUCGUAGCGAUUCUGACGUGCAAAUCGAUCGUCGGAUUUGGGUAUAGCGGCGAAAGACUAAUCGAACCAUCUAGUAGCUGGUUUCCUCCGAAGUUUCCCACAGGAUAGCUGGGACUCGGAUGCAGUUU